CAAACUAUAGCAUAUAUAAUGCAUUUUAUUUACAUUAAAAUUAAAUUAAAUAUUAGUUUGA
Molecule: transfer RNA, 61 nt
Filed under: Haemadipsa tianmushana
Lineage: Eukaryota; Metazoa; Annelida; Clitellata; Hirudinida; Haemadipsidae
Description: tRNA-Val
Source: RNAcentral